Small nuclear RNA from Panthera pardus (leopard), 109 nucleotides. The record is from Ensembl. Lineage: Eukaryota; Metazoa; Chordata; Mammalia; Carnivora; Felidae.
AUGCGCCGGCUUCGGCCGCACAUAUACUAAAUUUGGAACAACACAGAGAAGAUCAGCACGGCCCCUGUGCAAGGAUGACACGCAAAUUCGUGAGGCGUUCCAUAUUUUC